UGGGAGGCGGUGAAGGAUUUAUUAUCAAAUGUUCAUCAAUAUAUUCCAUCAAUUUUUCUCUGAACUUUUGUCCCGAACUGCUGAUUUUCAGGAGCACUACUGUGUGGCUUAUGCAAUCAAUGAUGCCAUGGGUCUGUUUGAGGAUUUUGGUUUUCCUAACAACCAGCAGAAGCAGCAGCAGCACAUGCAGAACGUGCCCAACCCCUCAUCCUCAUCAUCCUCAUCAUAUUAGACCAAUCAACUAUGCUGUUGCCAAGUUUGGUUAAACAAUGUAUCAGAUAAGCUCAUCUGACUGUGCAUGCCAACCCUACUGCCGGGGGUGUUUUGUCAGGUAAACAAAGGGUCUCUCAACUACUGCUUAGUCUUGGCCCUCGUUUCCAAAAAGAUGAUAAUAUCACCAUCUAUCUCUAUCUGUGUAUUGUUUUGACUCAAAGAAAUGGAUCUUCUUUUUUCUUUUGGGUCUGAAAAGAAAAUGGAUCCUUGCUUCCUUUUCGUGCUAGCUGUUUGGCAAAGAAAAACUUGGUGGGUCCACCAAAGCACCAAAAGUAUGUAAUCUUAUUGGCUUUGUGGGGCCAACGCCAUGUGGUGAGCAAAUAUACGUAUUGUGCAUGGUUUGGUUC
Prunus avium (sweet cherry) is the source of this 620-nucleotide non-coding RNA. The record is from RefSeq and is a predicted model, not a curated record. NCBI's taxonomy places the organism in Eukaryota, Viridiplantae, Streptophyta, Magnoliopsida, Rosales, Rosaceae.